GCAACUCGCCUACAUGAAGUCGGAGUUGCUAGUAAUCGCGGAUCAGAAUGCCGCGGUGAAUGCGUUCCCGGGUCUUGUACGCACCGCCCGUCACACCAUGGAAGUUGGGGGCGCCCGAAGUUGCCUAAGAAAUAAGGUACCUAAGGCGAAACCAAUGACUGGGGUGAAGUCGUAACAAGGUAAC
RNAcentral lists this ribosomal RNA (184 nucleotides) under uncultured bacterium. RNAcentral describes it as "partial 16S ribosomal RNA". It matches the Rfam family "Bacterial small subunit ribosomal RNA", at positions 1307 to 1500 of the family's 1533-position model. The record is from RNAcentral.